Molecule: ribosomal RNA, 468 nt
Filed under: uncultured bacterium
Lineage: Bacteria
Description: partial 16S ribosomal RNA
Rfam family: Bacterial small subunit ribosomal RNA
Source: RNAcentral
GACGAACGCUGGCGGCGUGCUUAACACAUGCAAGUCGAACGGAAAGGCCCUGCUUUUGUGGGGUGCUCGAGAGGCGAACGGGUGAGUAACACGUGAGUAACCUGCCCUUGACUUUGGGAUAACUUCAGGAAACUGGGGCUAAUACCGGAUAGGAGCUCCUGCUGCAUGGUGGGGGUUGGAAAGUUUCGGCGGUUGGGGAUGGACUCGCGGCUUAUCAGCUUGUUGGUGGGGUAGUGGCUUACCAAGGCUUUGACGGGUAGCCGGCCUGAGAGGGUGACCGGCCACAUUGGGACUGAGAUACGGCCCAGACUCCAACGGGAGGCAGCAGUGGAGAAUAUUGCACAAUGGGCGGAAGCCUGAUGCAGCAACGCCGCGUGCGGGAUGACGGCCUUCGGGUUGUAAACCGCUUUCGCCUGUGACGAAGCGUGAGUGACGGUAAUGGGUAAAGAAGCACCGGCUAACUACGUG